This 484-nucleotide ribosomal RNA is filed under the name uncultured bacterium. RNAcentral's name for it is "bacterial SSU rRNA". It matches the Rfam family "Bacterial small subunit ribosomal RNA", at positions 30 to 508 of the family's 1533-position model. The record is from RNAcentral.
AUUGAACGCUGGCGGCAUGCCUUACACAUGCAAGUCGAACGGCAGCACGGGGGCAACCCUGGUGGCGAGUGGCGAACGGGUGAGUAAUACAUCGGAAUGUACCCAGUAGUGGGGGAUAACUAGUCGAAAGAUUAGCUAAUACCGCAUACGCACUAUGGUGGAAAGCGGGGGAUCGCAAGACCUCGCGCUAUUGGAGCAGCCGAUGUCCGAUUAGGUAGUUGGUGGGGUAAAGGCCUACCAAGCCUGCGAUCGGUAACUGGUCUGAGAGGACGACCAGUCACACUGGGACUGAGACACGGCCCAGACUCCUACGGGAGGCAGCAGUGGGGAAUUUUGGACAAUGGGGGAAACCCUGAUCCAGCAAUGCCGCGUGUGUGACGAAGGCCUCGGUUGUAAGACACUUUGUCGGACGAAACGGACGCGUUCUAAUACAGAGCGCUAAUGACGGUACCCGCCACGAAUAAGACACCGGCUAACUACGUAG